CGCGUAGGCGGGUAUGUAAGUUAGGUAGUGAAAUCCCGGGGCUCAACCUCGGAACAGCACUUAAGACUGCAUAUCUGGAGGAUAGGCGGAGAAAAUAGAAUUCCACAAGUAGCGGUGAAAUGCGUAGAUAUGUGGAAGAAUACCGGUGGCGAAGGCGGUUUUCUAGCUUAUUCCUGACGCUGAGGCGCGAAAGCAAGGGGAUCAAACA
RNAcentral lists this ribosomal RNA (208 nucleotides) under uncultured bacterium. RNAcentral describes it as "partial 16S ribosomal RNA". It matches the Rfam family "Bacterial small subunit ribosomal RNA", at positions 568 to 774 of the family's 1533-position model. The record is from RNAcentral.